GGAGGGAUCAUUACCGAGUUUACAACUCCCAAACCCCUGUGAACAUACCUUAAUGUUGCCUCGGCGGAUCAGCCCGCGCCCCGUAAAACGGGACGGCCCGCCAGAGGACCCAAACUCUAAUGUUUCUUAUUGUAACUUCUGAGUAAAACAAACAAAUAAAUCAAAACUUUCAACAACGGAUCUCUUGGUUCUGGCAUCGAUGAAGAACGCAGCAAAAUGCGAUAAGUAAUGUGAAUUGCAGAAUUCAGUGAAUCAUCGAAUCUUUGAACGCACAUUGCGCCCGCUGGUAUUCCGGCGGGCAUGCCUGUUCGAGCGUCAUUUCAACCCUCAAGCCCCCGGGUUUGGUGUUGGGGAUCGGCUCUGCCUUCUGGCGGUGCCGCCCCCGAAAUACAUUGGCGGUCUCGCUGCAGCCUCCAUUGCGUAGUAGCUAACACCUCGCAACUGGAACGCGGCGCGGCCAUGCCGUAAAACCCCAACUUCUGAAUGUUGACCUCGGAUCAGGUAGGAAUACCCGCUGAACUUAAGCAUAUCAAUAAGCGGAGGAAAAGAAACCAACAGGGAUUGCCCUAGUAACGGCGAGUGAAGCGGCAACAGCUCAAAUUUGAAAUCUGGCUUUCGGGCCCGAGUUGUAAUUUGUAGAGGAUACUUUUGAUGCGGUGCCUUCCGAGUUCCCUGGAACGGGACGCCAUAGAGGGUGAGAGCCCCGUCUGGUUGGAUGCCAAAUCUCUGUAAAGUUCCUUCGACGAGUCGAGUAGUUUGGGAAUGCUGCUCUAAAUGGGAGGUAUAUGUCUUCUAAAGCUAAAUAUUGGCCAGAGACCGAUAGCGCACAAGUAGAGUGAUCGAAAGAUGAAAAGCACUUUGAAAAGAGAGUUAAAAAGUACGUGAAAUUGUUGAAAGGGAAGCGUUUAUGACCAGACUUGGACUUGGUUAAUCAUCUGGGGUUCUCCCCAGUGCACUUUUCCAGUUCAGGCCAGCAUCAGUUUUCGCCGGGGGAUAAAGGCUUCGGGAAUGUAGCUCUCUUCGGGGAGUGUUAUAGCCCGUUGUGUAAUACCCUGGUGGAGACUGAGGUUCGCGCUUCUGCAAGGAUGCUGGCGUAAUGGUCAUCAACGACCCGUCUUGAAACACGGACCAAGGAGUCGUCUUCGUAUGCGAGUGUUCGGGUGUCAAACCCCUACGCGUAAUGAAAGUGAACGCAGGUGAGAGCUUCGGCGCAUCAUCGACCGAUCCUGAUGUUCUCGGAUGGAUUUGAGUAAGAGCAUACGGGGCCGGACCCGAAAGAAGGUGAACUAUGCCUGUAUAGGGUGAAGCCAGAGGAAACUCUGGUGGAGGCUCGCAGCGGUUCUGACGUGCAAAUCGAUCGUCAAAUAUGGGCAUGGGGGCGAAAGACUAAUCGAACCUUCUAGUAGCUGGUUUCCGC
This 1417-nucleotide unclassified non-coding RNA is filed under the name uncultured fungus. RNAcentral's name for it is "sequence contains 18S rRNA gene, ITS1, 5.8S rRNA gene, ITS2, 28S rRNA gene". The stretch from base 488 to 1417 matches the Rfam family "Eukaryotic large subunit ribosomal RNA", at positions 1 to 961 of the family's 3401-position model. Lineage: Eukaryota; Fungi. The record is from RNAcentral.